RNAcentral lists this ribosomal RNA (253 nucleotides) under uncultured bacterium. RNAcentral describes it as "partial 16S ribosomal RNA". It matches the Rfam family "Bacterial small subunit ribosomal RNA", at positions 524 to 776 of the family's 1533-position model. The record is from RNAcentral.
UACGUAGGGUGCAAGCGUUGUCCGGAAUCAUUGGGCGUAAAGAGCGUGUAGGCGGCUCGAUUAGUCCGCUGUAAAAGUCCAGGGCUCAACCCUGGGAUGCCGGUGGAAACUGUCGGGCUAGAGUCCGGGAGAGGCGAGUGGAAUUCCUGGUGUAGCGGUGAAAUGCGCAGAUAUCAGGAGGAACACCGAUGGCGAAGGCAGAUCUCUGGGCCGUAACUGACGCUGAGGAGCGAAAGCGUGGGGAGCGAACAGG